AAACAUGUGUUCUCGCUCUCAGCUGACCACUUUUUUGGCCGAAAUAGGCCAUGGACACUAGGAGAGCGUGAGAAGCCUUUUUGAAAAGACCUUGAGAUGGCGAAAAAAAGAAGACGCACGAAU
Molecule: small nucleolar RNA, 123 nt
Organism: Caenorhabditis elegans
Lineage: Eukaryota; Metazoa; Nematoda; Chromadorea; Rhabditida; Rhabditidae
Source: Ensembl